Ovis aries (sheep) is the source of this 73-nucleotide transfer RNA. It matches the Rfam family "tRNA". Rfam says of the family: Transfer RNA (tRNA) molecules are approximately 80 nucleotides in length. The record is from Rfam. Lineage: Eukaryota; Metazoa; Chordata; Mammalia; Artiodactyla; Bovidae.
UCCCUGGUGGUCUAAAGGUUAAGACUCUGCACUUACAAUGCAGGGGGCUCAGGUUUGAUCCCUGGCUGGGAAA